CCCAGCCGAGGCUCACUGCCCCCCGGAUGGGCAGUGAGUCGGUGGGUUCCUGAGGCCAGGGAGCAGCCCAGCCCUGCCCCUCGGGAUGACACACCUUCCCAGAGGGGUGUGGCGCCCUCCCAGGCUGACCUCCCAGCAGACCAGGUAGCCUUCCGGAGGAGCGGAUGUCUUCACGUUGAAUUACCCCAGCCCGGAGGUGAGUGCAGGUAAUUUCAACCUGGGUACUGCAUCUUAUUUUUAUUUCUCAUGAAAAUAUUUUGUAUCUGAAAAGCUGUGACAAACACUUGAAAGUAUUCGCCAGGGCUAAACCCAAUCCCGAAUAAAAUGCCGUGCAAUAAACAGCAGAGACUCGAACGCAGGAAAGGCAGUUAAGAGCUGACCACGCUGGCAGGGGACUGGUUAACCUGUGCUCACAUUUCUUCUGCACAAAGUCAUGGUUGGAAAUAGGUCUCUGCCUGGCAGAGGGGAGAAAAGUUCUAGAAGUUUCCUGUGUGCAUUAGCUUAGUGAGAGGAGAGACUCUAACCAGUUAGCCAGUUAGUUGAUGUCUGCAGAUGGGGGCCAGGACCAAACUGGAUGGGGGUUCUGACUGCUGGGGUUUUACGUUUGCUAAGUGUUGUGUUCUUGGGAUCCCAGAGCCUCAAUGUCUUUAUUGGUCCAUGGUGAUAGCAUCAUCUCUGUGGCUCACCUAGCCCCGUGCCUGUUCGUGGAUCCUGACAGCCUGUGAUCCCUGGAGGGGGCCUGGGGAGUUGGGUCUGAAGGUUAGUGUACGACCAGGAGUUGGGGUACCUUGGGGAAGGAGGGGGUUCUCAUGGGAGCAGUAUGCUACCCUGGACAUGCAGGGGGGCAGGAGGAGACUGCAAGGUGGCUCCCCAUUCUUGUGGAGCUGACAGGUUAGAAAUGCCCCUGUCCUUCAGCCUCACUCUGUCUUGGUUGGAACUGAGGAGGAGGCAUGGCAGCCGAGGGUUCCGCAGGGGAACCAAGCUGUCUGUGGAGGAGCACGUAGCCAGGCCCCGGCUCUUUGCCAGCAAGCUGAGCGCGGCUGUUGACGCAUGUGAGCUGCGGGGCCCCGGCUCCCCAGAGGCCCGUGUGUCCCCUGCGCCCACGCCUGUCUCAUGUCACAUUCUCCCCGAGUUCUCAUUCCAGUGAGCUAAUCCCCGAGAAGACGGGCCAGGGCAUUAGCUUUCGGGGCCUCUCGCAGACCGAAAAGGAAAGUGCUCCCUGACGGGUACAUUGCAGGUCCCUGCUGUCGGCUCGGCAGGGAUUUGGGGCCUGCGGUUGGUGACGUGGCAGCCAGCAGGCACACACCUGCUGGCCUCAUGUCACUGACACCCCACUCGGAGGCCCAGGGCUCCAGCUCUAGGACAUAUAAAAUUAAAAAAGGAAUGAUCUUUGGGAUAAAAUAAAUCCCCCAUGUCUGCACAACUUGUUUGGGGAGACGUGCCGGGUCCUGAUCCAUCAGCCAAAUGCUCUUCCUUUUGCGUUUGUAAAAAAACAAAGCUCCCCCAAAUAAAGAAACAAAAAAUGCCCCGCAAACAAAUAAAAACCAAAAAAAAAAAAAAAACCCAAACCCCCAGAAAACGUUUAUUUUAAUUAUGUAAGAAAUGCAUUGGUAAUUAAUACUCUCAUUACUAAAAGUCAAACAGUGCAGAUAGAGCUGACGCCAUCUUCAACGCCCCCUCGGUCCCAGCGCCCCCCGCCCUGACAGAGCAGCUGCUGUUGUCAGUUUCAGUGUCCCUGGCUCCCGUGUUGCCUGCUUCUGAUGUUCCCUAACUGAAACCUGCCUCAUGUUCCUCCCUGGGCCGAUGGGCAGUUUCAGAGGACAGAGCUGUCUGCUCUGCGGCGCUGGUUGGCGUGUUCCAAACACUGUCCAGAUUCUUGCCUCUGCUUUCAAGGGGCGCUGGGACUCUAGAAACUGAGAGGACUUUGAGAAGUUAGUGGCUUGUCCCAGAUCGGCUAGGAGGUGGGACCCGGGAUUCCAACCCAGAAUGAAGGCCCCAGAGUCGGUCUAAUAAUACUCUGUUGGUGAUGAUCUUGGCUGUGACCUCUGCGGGAAAUGAGCCAUGGACCAAGCAGUGUGAGUGAUGGUUAGUGUUGUUUUAAGGUUGGCUGGUGGGUUGAUGGGUGUGUAUGCAUUAUUAAACGUGAAUGCACACAGGUAAAGUCAAAGAUGGCCAAGCGUAGACCAAUGGGGAGACUGUGUCAUGAACCAGGGGGGUGAAUCUCCUUUGGCAUAACUGUCAGCAAAUUAAAAAAUAUUAUAACUAGGCCGUUCUUUUUGUAGGAAAUGAGCAAAUAAAAAGAAACAAUUAUAUUCAUGUUUAAUGAUAUUAAUUGUAUAUAUAUGUAUACAUUUAUAUUCAUAAAUUUUUAACAUAUAUCUGUUUAUAUAAAUGUAAUUGUUACUUAUUCUUGGGUUGAGUGGUAGGUUCAUGUAUCUUUAUUGAUUUAUUAAAAAUAAAUGGAUGAGUACAUAAAUAAAAUCAAAAAGGUCAAGCGUGGACUAAGGAAGACAGUGACCCAAGAUGUAUGAAUGCACAAUUCUGCAAAUUUGAGCGAGAUUUAAACAAAAAUAUCUGUUAUUUUAUUUAUUUUAGUAGCAUUCUAUAUUAAUUUAUACACUAUGGUUUAUAUAAACACUUCCUCAUUGGUGAAGUUUAGGCUAUUAACUCAAGGGGAAAGGUGCAUGUAGAGAUGUAAGGUAUUGGUAACUUUCUAUUUGUUGGAUAAGAUUCAUGGGUAUUCUUUUAUGGUGUUUUUAAAGGGAUGAAUAAAAUUUAAAAAGGCCAAGCAUGCACCAAUGAGGAUAAUGUUUCAUAAACUAAGGAUGAUUAAUUCAAUUAUACACAAGUGAUAGCUGUUAAAAAUGAUAUUCAUUUUUAAACAGUUGCUUUCUGUUGCACAACAUGGACACACUAGAGUUUAUUGACUCACACAAUAUUUAUGGGGAUUUUAGCUCUUAUUUGGGCGGAUAAAGUAUGUAAAGAAAAUGUAAGUAAUGGUCAAGGUACUUAAAUUUUUGGCUGGUAAGUUGUUCAAGACAAGGAAAUAAGCAAGUAAAUGAAUGAAUGAAUAAAUUAACAAAUAAAACAAGAGAGGGCAGACAUGGGCCAUGAAGAUAUUAUCUCAUUAUCCCAGAAUUAAGGUUAUUCUAAUUCUGUACAUCCAAGGUCCAUUUAAAAAAUGUGUUGGUUGAGGAGUAAAGAGUCAAUAUUCUUGUUUUUGCAUGGUGGUGUGUUGGAUGUCGAUUUCCAUCCUAAAAAUAAAUAAUUAUAUAAAUGUAUAAAAUGCAACAGAUAUCGAAAUAUCAGCUGGUGAUGAGAGUGGCCCAAGGAUUAAAGGAUUACAGUUACGUCAGUUCUGUGUUCUUGACUUCUAUAAAAAUAAUCUAGCCUGCUUCAUUCCUUUUCCCAGCUGUUUUGUUUUGCAUUGUGUAUAUGUACAGAGUUUCCUUAAGCAUUCCUCUGUGGAUAAAGACCUAGUCUAUUAAUUCUUUGAGCAAGGAGCACAAAGGAAGGUGAGAGAGAAAAUGUCAGUGUUCUACUUGUGGAGUAAGAGAUUGGAUUCAUGAUUGCUCACUAAAAACUUCUUUAGAGAUGAUCAAAUCAAAGAAAAGAGAAUCAGUAUGGACCAAAUGAUCAAUAAUUAUGAUUAAUCCAAUUUAGCUUCAUUAGGAAAAGUUCUAGACAAUUACCUGAGGGUAAAGGGUCUAUGCUAGAGCUGUCCAGUAGAACUUUUUGCCGUGAUGGACGUGUUCUAUAAUUUGUUCUGUCCAAUAUAGCAGCCACUAGCUAUGUGUGACUAUGAGCACUUGAAAUGUGGCUAAUGUGAAUGAAUAACUGAAUUUUUAAUUUUAGUUGAUUUUUAUUAAUUUGUGUUUAAAUAGUCAUGUGUGGCUAAUCUCUCAGGUGCAUUGAGUGGUUGGUUAAUGGGAGUUUCUUGAAUAUUAAAUAUGAAUAAAUAAAUAGAUGAAUUAAUAGAGUUAGUUAUGGGCCAGAGAGGAGGGUGUACCAUGAAAAAAGAUUGUAAUUAAUCCAGUUCUGCACAGCUGAGAUUCCCUGGCAAAAAAGUCAUGAAAGUUCAUGAAAAAUAGACAUAGGCUUAUUCACCUAUUUCAUCAACUAUUCAGUGUUACCUUGAAUGUCUGCCCCACAGUUUAUGUGAACAUUUCUCUAAUGUUGAAGAUCUAUGUAUCUGGGUGGGAAACGGUCAAAAAUCUAUUGUCAAAGUUGUAAUUGAUGGGUUGAAUAAUGGUUUUAUAUAUAUUUAUUAUAUUAUUUACUUCAAAAAAUGAAUAAUAAAUAAUAAGAGUCCAUGCAUGGUGCAAGGAUGGUAACGUGACAUGGAACGAAGUUUGUGAUUAAUACAAGUCAUCACAAACUGUGGUCCAUAAAUAAAAGGUCUCUUUUACAUUUGUUGGUGAGGAACAUAUGGCAGAUGUAAGUAAUUGUCAAUGUAUGUAAAGAGGACUAAACAUGGACCAGUGAUGAAAGUGUAUCGUGACCCAAAUAUUUAUGUUAAUACGUUUCUGCUCAACUGAAGUCCAUUAUAUAAAGGUCUUUGCUUCUCCAUUUGUGGAUAAAAAUUACAAAGGUUGUCUACCUUUCUAUCUAUCAUCUAUGACUUAUAUCUCUAUAUAUUAUAUAUGGAUAUAAAUAAUAGUUUUUCUUGGGUUUGAUGGUACAUUCAUGGUGAUUUCAUUGAUGAUAUUAUAAAAAUCAAUAAAUGAAUGAAUUCCUAAAAAUAAAGGGCAGGACAUGUAUGCAUUAGUCACUGCUGUGACAAUGCUGCAUAACAAGUAACCCACAAUUUCAGUGGCUGACAAAGUAGUAGCAACAACAACAUUUCUUUCUCACAUGUGGGUCGGUGGGCCUCUUGCAGCAGUUAUGCUGCAGGCUGUGGGCUGGGUUUGCAUCUGCACGCCCCCCCUACCCCCCUGCCUUCUUAUUCUAGGUCCCUAGAUAAAGGAGUUGUAGUGUCUAGGACAUACUCUUCUUAUGGUGAAGGCUUGACGCUCCAGAGGCUAAGCAAAACCACCCAAGCUCGUUUAAAGCCUCUGCUCUAAGUCCCAUGUGGUUUGUCACAUCCACUCAUACUCCAUUGGGCAAUGCAAGUCAUGGCCAGGCACAACAUACUGGUGUCGGGAAGGAUAUUCUUCCCAUGGGGGAGAGGGAAGGGAGAGGGAAUACCUGCUGAAAAACAGCAUAACCUGCCACAUUUCCCCCAAUUGGUAAGAAAUAUUUACUUCAUGUCCAUACGAGAAAUACAGUUAUUCUCUCUUCAAAACGUCCCGGAAGUCCAUAAAACCAGUGCUCCAGUUCAAAGUCCAGAGCAUCCUGAUCCGCUGCUGGUUUGGCUCUGCCUCUUCUUUAUUUAGAGACUUGUAAACUAGAGACAGGUUAUCUGUCCCCACAUGGUAAACAUGCUGUGUUGGAACCACUCCUGCUUGCAAAGGGAGAGAACAGGAGGCACAGAGCUGUCCACUGCAUCGCAGCUCUGGAACCCUGAUCGGCAGGGGCUGUGCGAUCUCCCUACCUGUGGCUGUCACCUGCAGGGGAAGGAGAAGAAAGACAGAUGUUGGUACUGGUCAUCAUUCUUAUUCUUACUUUAGGUGAGCAAUUCAAUGGCAUUCAUUGAAAUUAUAAUUGAGAAUUGUUAAUUGAUUAGAUCAGUAAAAAAUGGAGUAUUGUUUGUGGGUCAAUGGUGAGAAGGAGGGUCAAGCAUGGACCAAGGUUGAGAAUGUGGCACAAGCCAAGUGUUAUGGUUAAUCCAGUAUUUAACAACUGACGUUUAUUUAAAAAAUUUAAUAUCUUUCAGUCUUUUUCACAUCUGCUUUCUGUUCUGCAGGAUGAAUGCUCUAGAGCUGAUUAGCCAUUUUAUAAUGAUGAAUGGCUUCCCUCUGUGGGUAAGGAGCAUGGAGGCUGAUGUGAGUGACAGAGUUCUUGUUCUUGGUUUGGAUCCUUUGCUCAUGGAUGUUGACUGUAUAACCAAGAAACCAAUGGCUCCAUAUUUUGAUAAUAUCACAGGAGGCCAUGUGUGAACCAGCGAUGAGAGUGAUACGAACCAAGGAUUACGAUGAAUCCAAUUCAACACAACUUAAUCCUAUUAAAAAUACACUAUGGCCAUUUUAUUUAUGUUAUUCGCAUUUUAAUGUUCCAUAUUAAUUUUAUACCACUCUUGAUUUAAACAUUCCUCCAUUGAUAAAGAUUUAUGCUUGAGAGGGUAGCCCAUAGGAAGAUGGACAGAUAUUCUCAAUGUUCUAUUGUGGGAGAAGAUGGUGGGUUCAUAGUGGUUCAUUGAAUCAUCUUUGAAAUAUAGACGAAUUAAAAGAAAGAGGGCUAAGAACAGGCCAGUGAUGAGUGUGCGAGUGCUAUGGAGCAAGACUGUUGAUUGACUCAUGUUAUUGAUCAUUACAGAAAGACAUCUAGUGUAUUAUUUCUGUGGGAAAUUAUGCACAUGUGUUGUCCAGUACAGUGGCAACUAGCCACAGGUAGCUACUGUGCAUCUGGAAUGUGGCUGGUCUGAAUUGAUAUGUGAUCUAUGUGGAAAAUACACACCAAAUUUGGAAGAGUCAGAACAAAAAAUAAAAUAUUUCGUUAAUAGUUUAUAUUUAUUACAUGUUGAAAUGGAUAGUAUUUUAGAUAUAUUGGGUUAAAUAAAAUAUACAAUUGUAAUUGAUUUCACCUGUUUCUUUUUACUUUUAAAAAGUGUAGAUUCUAGAAAACUUAAAGUAUAUGAGUGGUGGGGCCGGCCCCAUGGUGUAGUGGUUAAGUUCAGUGUGCUCUGCUUCAGUGGCCCAAGAUGUGGGUUCAGAUCCUGGGUGCAGACUUACAUCACUUGCCAGCCAUGCUGUGGCGGUGACCCACAUAUAAAGUGGAGGAAGAUUGGCACAGAUGUUAGUUCAGGGCUAAUCUUCCUCAGCCAAAAAAAAAAAUAUAUAUAGAUAGAUAGAUAUCUAUCUAUCUAUCUAUAUAUAUAAGUGGCUUACAUUAUAUUUUUAUUGGCCAGCACAGCUAUAGACCAAUGAUAGGAAUAGUCAAGGAUCUUUUCCUUUGUGUUUUUCUGACCUAUGGGUGUUGAUAGCAUUUUUAUUAGCCAAUUAAUGGAUCAAUCAAUUAAAAGGGAAUGAAUAGGAAAAAGCAUACACUAAAUAUUAAGGUAUAUAUUGAAACAAGGAUUACUUUAAACAUUUUUUGAAACCUUGAAACCUGUAAAAAUAAUUUAAAGUGGUUAAUCCCUUUGGGUAAUGAACAUAUGAACAGAUGUGUGUAGUAAUCAAUGCUGUUGGUGUGUCGCUAGUCUUUUUUUCUUUUUUAAGAAAAUAAUCCACAUGGACAAAUCUCUAAUUAAAUAACUAAAUAGAAAAGAGUCAAGGAUGGCAAGUGCUGGGUGAGGACAGCAUAGAGGGCAAAGCUGUUGGUUGAUGCCUAUGGGCACCACUGAAAUCCACUGCAAACACUAUUAGUCUCAGUUCUGGGGAAAAUGAGCCUGUAGCCAGGGGUUAGGAACAUGAUGGGGUCCUAAUUGAGGCAUUUGAGGCUCAUGAAUUUUGAUUACCUUGUUGUGUAAAUGAAUCAAUGCAUAAAUUAAACAAAUGUAUAAAUGAAUGAAAAAAACAAAGGCAAGUGUGGACCAAUGAUAAGUGUAUAUAAUGAAGCAAGAAUUAUUAUUAAUAUGUUUUUGAAGCAAUGAAGUCCAUUUAAAAAAAAGGGCACUGAUGUCAAUUUCUAAGAAAGGGCAGAUUCUUAGAUAUUCUCAUAAUAGAUGUUUACGUAAAUAGGAAAAUUGAGGAGGACCAAUGUUAACAUUGUGUGAGAUGAUAAGAAUUAUAAUUAAUCCAGUUUAUUCCUUGAGUUCGUUAAACAGCAACAAAUAUCUAGUUGGUUAUCUCUGUAGAUAAUGAACAGGUUGACAGAUGUUAGUUUUAUUUAGAGUUUUUGACCAUUUGCUUCGGAUUCCAAGCUACAGAUUGUCAGGGAAUGAAUGAAUAAAUUUAUGUCACAGUCCGUUAGUUAAAAGGGGGCAAAUCAGUGACCAUCUGAUGAACAUAAGUUACAAAGCAAGUAUUAGGAUAAGUUCAGUCUUCGUUGCUGAUGUCCAUGAAGAGGACAUAAAGUCUAGGCUCCAACCUAUUUGUUUAAAGUUCACAGGUAGAUUCGUGUUAAGUUUUUGCGGAUAGUAGAUUUACUUUUUUUUUUGCCAAGGAAGAUUUGCCCUGAGCUAACAUCUUGCUAAUCUUCCUCUGUUUUGUAUGUGGGGUGCUGCCACAGCAUGGCUGCUGAUGGUCGUAUGGGUCUGCACCCGAGAUCUGAACCCAGGCUGCUGAAGCAGAGUGCACCAAACUUAACUACCCUGUGAGGCUGGCCCCUGGAUUUACUCUCGUUAAUUAUCUUCUAAGCAAUAGAUACAGGAUUAAAUUAAUUUGUAACUAAUCAAAUUAAAUAAUAAAUAAGCACAUAGAUAAAUACAUAAAGAGAGUCAAGAAUGAACACUGGAAAAAUGUGCCGUGAAACAAUUUUAGAUUAAUCCAACUUGGAACAAGUGAGGUCCAUCAAAGAAGGAAAAGAUGAAAGAAGGUACUUUAUUCAUUUUACAGUUGUUUAAUAUUUCGUUUUUCACCGCUGCUGAUUUACACAUUCCACCAGUGAUAAAGAUGUAGAUUUCUCACCUGUUGAGAGAGAAAACACAAGGAAAGAUGGAAGAUAGGGAAGUAAAUGAGACGUUCCUGGAUUUUCUUUGUUACGUGUUUAAAAUUUGAACAAAUUAAAGAAAGACUAAAGAACAGGGCCAAGCAUGGCUAUAAUGAGUGCGGGUUUGGAUAAAGAAUGUUGGCUGAUCCAUGUGUGCAGCAGUGAGGUCCACUGCGGUAAGAGGUCUCAUGUAUUCGUUCUGGGAGAAAUUUGCCAAAAGUCGGAAGUUAGUAAUAUUCUUGUAUCUUAUUCUUGCUUUGUUGUGAUUAAUGGAUAUUAAGUAAUUAUUAGUCAAUUAAUGCAUGAACUAAUGCACAAAUGUGUAAGUGAAUAAAGAAAAAAGUCCCAAGCCUGGAUCAAUGAUGAGUACCCUGGGGUGUCUGAACCAAGGAUUUUGAUUAAAAUCUGUAACUCUGACGUCCACUCUAAAAAUGAAUCUAAUUUCCUACCUUAAUGGGGCAUGAGCUUGUAGCUCCAGUUAGGAAUGCAGGCAUCUUGCUUUUGGCUUUGGUAGAUCUUAGGUAUGGAUCCUUUUAUUAGUGAACUAGGGCAUGAGUUAACAAGGAAACCUAUCAGUGAAUGCAGACAAAGCGGCCUGGAUAAGCUCUAAUUAUGAGAGUACGUAAUGAGAUAGGAAUUGUUAUUAGCACAGUGCUGAGGAGCCGAGGUCCAGUAUGCGAAGAGUGCAAGGCUUUUUCUGUGUCGAUUAGGAACGUGUGGGCAGAUGUAGGUAAGAGUCAGUGUUGUUUCUCGGUUGAUGGUUGUUAACUGUAUUAAGAAUUUUAUUAAGAAAAGGGGAAAAAGGAGAAACAUAACAAUCAAUUACAGAACUACCUAAUUAAAGACCAAGCAUGGGCCAAUGUUAAGAAUGCGUUAUAUGAGAGGAGUUACGAUUAAAUAAGUGCUCCUCAGUUAGCAUCGUUUUUGAAAAACACAUCUAGUUGUUUUUCUGUGGGCAUUGAGUUUAUGGGCAGAAGUUAGUGUUAUUUAGGACUCUUGCCCAGGGUAUGCUGGUUCACGAAUAUCGAUGAAGUGAAUGAAGGAAGUGAUUAUUUAAAGGAGGACAAACAUGGACCACUGAGGAUAGACUAUGUUGUUAAAAAAAGUUUAUUAAUCUCACUCUGCUCUUCUGAUGUCCAUAUAAAUAAAGGGGGACUGGGAUUCUGUGUGCUCUGGGUGAAGUGCAUCGAGACAGUUCCCUGUAGUUGUAUUUUAGACCAGUUUGCGUUUGAUUUGAAAAGAAUGAAAAUAUGAACAAGUUAUUGCAUGAGUAGAUAAAUACAAAACAAAUGAAAAAAUUUGUAAAGUAGGGUCAAGCAUGGAUCAUUGGUGAGACUAUGUCAAGACAGAAGGAUGUCAAUUUAUCCAAUUCUAAUCAAGGAAGACCCAUAAAGAAGAUGAUCUGGGCUCUUACCGCUGGAAGGUUUAAUGGACAGUUGGAACAGGCGUACUUCUCAGUUCCUCUGCUAGCAUGUAUAUCCAGCAACUGUCAUCAUAUCACAUUAAUUAACAUACAUUAACAUACAUUAAUAAUUAAAAUAAGUAAAAAGGGGACCAUUCUUAGGCUAAUGGAAUGGGAUGAAAACAGGGGUUUAUGAUAAAUCUGGUACAGCAGGACUAAGGUCUCUUAAAAAAAACUAAAUCUACACUGCUUUUUCAAUUUUCUAAAAUCUACUUUUUACUCCACAGAUUCAAUAUACCCAAUCUGAUUUAUUCGUUAUCCAGUGAUGAAGAUCUUGGCUGUCACUUCUGUGGAUAAGGAGCAGAGGAACUCAUGUAAGGAACAAAGUUCGUGUUCCUGGUGUGCAGUGCGUUUUCCCCAAGUGAACACCACAGAUGAUUUAGUCAUUCUCUGAUGCUAAAGCUCCUGGCUUUUACAAAACCUGUGGGUAAGGAGACAAGAGACUGAUGUAAGUGAUGGUUAAUGUUCUUGCUUGGGAGGUUGGUUUAUGGGUGCUGCUUUCAUUUUUCAAAGUAAUAAAUGGGUAUGUUAAUAAAUAAACCAAAUAACACCAGCACAGACCAGAAUUGAGAUUUAUGAUUAAUCUGAUUAGUACUACUAAAAUCCAAUAAAAAAGACUCCGAGUGUUUCAUUUAUUUUCAGGGCUGCUUCACAUUGUGUUUUAUUUUUCAUUGCACUUCAUUUAAGUACCUCUCCACUGAUAAAGAUUUAGGCAGUUAAUUCCUUGAGGGAGGAGCAGAGAGGAAGAUGGACAAUAUUGUUGGUGUUCUAGUUGUGGAGUAAGAUUAUAGGUCCCUUUGCUAUUUAUUGAACCAUCUUUAAAUGAAAAAAGGACCAAGCGGGGACCAAUGGAACUGACAUGAAACAAGGAUGAUGAUUAAUUUAUAUAUGUCAAAAGCACAUAUAUAUGUUGCAAAAAGCAGCUUCAUCUGUUAGCACUUUGGGAAACGGGCAUACAGACAGUUAUUAGUGAUCGUCAAGGAUGUUGUUCUUGGGCUUUUUGAUUCAUGAGAAUUGAUUAUAUUAUUAUUAGUGAAUCAAUGAAUAAAGGAAUAAACAAUGCAUAAAUAAAGGAAGAAAAAGAUGUCUAGUGUCAAUGAGUCAUGUCAAUGAGUGUUCCCAAAAGUAUAAAUCAAAGAUUUUGAUUAAACUCUGUAACUUUGAGGUUCAUUAGAGAAAAGAAAUCUAAUUAUUUCCUCUGUCGGGGAGGGGCUUGCAGCAGAAGUUAGGAGGAGUGGAAGAUCUGCUUCUCGAGCUUUGGUUCUUAAUGUCUGAAAUGUAUCGUAAGUGGAGCAAUGAAAGAAUGAAUAAAGAUGUGUAAAUGAAUGAUGGCCAAUUAAUUUGAGUCUGCACUGAAAUAAGGAUGAUUGUUAUAUUAUUUCCUGAACCAGAGUUCCAUAAGCUAAACAGGUCAGGUCUUCCUUACUGUCUUCCAUAAAGGAUCUAACUAUUGUGUGAGAGUCCAUAUUGUUGUUUUGGAUUCGUGGUUGGUAUGUGGUUGUUGGUUUUAUUUAGAAAAGGAACAAAUUAUUUACAUUAAAAGUAAUUGUUUAAGCAAGUGCCUAAUUGAAAGAAGGCCAAGCAUGGACUAACAUUGAGAACAUGAUGGGAAGUAUGCACACACAGUUCUCUUCACUGACUAUUGCUUAAAAAAGCAAAAAAGAAUCUAGCAGGUUCUGUCUGUGGGUAGUCAGCAUGUAGACAGAUAUUGGUAUCAGUCCAUGUUCUUGUCCAGUGUCUUGGCUGGCAUUCGUUUUGAAUGUAUUGUUAAAAAUGAGUGAACGAGUGAGUUCAUAUUUUGGCCAAUUAUUUAAAAGAUGGAAGAGCGUGGGUCAGUGAGGAGAUGUCAUGAAAGAACAAGAUAAUGAUUAAAUCAUUUUAGACGAAGAAAAAGAAAUCUAGACUUACCCCACUUUAGACAAGGUAUGUAUCAGCAGCUACAUGAAAUGGUAUUUCAAUUCUGGAUUACUGGUGGGUUUUACUCUUUUUCUCUUAAAAAUGAAUAAAUGAUCAAAUUAUUCUUUGAGUAAUUAAAUAAGAGGAUAACAUGAAUGAGUCAGUAAAUGUACAGAUUAGGGUAAAUUUUGGACCAGUGCUUCAUGGCACACUCUAAGCAGUUCACGACUAUGGCCCCUUAAAAAAGAUUAAUGAGGUGUGAACUAUGUGGUUAGGGGCUACGUAGAUGGAUAGUGGUACUGCUUACAUUUAUUACUCUUGGUGGAUUUAACAGUGUUCACUGCAUUAACUAAAAAUUAAUGGGCCAGCCCUGAUGGCCUAGCGGUUAGAGUUCAGCGCUCACUGCUUUGGCAGCCUGGGUUCCUUUCCUGGUCCCGGAACCACACCACCCGUCUGUCAGUUUCCAUGGUGUGGCAGCAGCUCACACGGAAGAACUAGAAGGAUUUACCACUAGGAUAUACAGCCAUGCACUUGGGCUUUGGGGAGAAAAAAAGAAGAGGAAGACUGGCAACAGAUGUUAGCGCGGGGUGAAUUUUUCCCUGCAGGACAAAAAAAAAAAAAAAAAAAAAAUUCAACACUAAAUAGUCAAUACAUAGAAAGCAGUCAUUCUUGAGUCAGUAAUGGGAACAUGAUAGGAAACAAAGUUUAUGAUUAAUCUAGUACUUCAUGACUCCAGUCCAUUAAAAAAAAAAGGUAUCUAGGCUGUUUGAUUCUUUAUAAGAUGUGCAUUUUAUUUCACAGAAUGAAAACAUCAGAGCUGGAUUUAGUUAUUCAAUAGUGAUAAAGAUUUUAGCUUUUACCCCCGUGGUCGAGGAGCCUAGAGGCUGUAGUAGAUACUGGUCAAAAUUCACGUCCUUGGUUUAGGUAGUUUGUUCAUCACCACAUUAUGCGAAAGGAAUAAGUGCUAAAUACAUAGAUAAAAUCAUGUAUUUAACAUCAAAAUAUUGGCCAUGCAGGGACCAAUAAUGGAAAUUAACCAAAGUUGACGGUUAAUUCAAUUCAGUGCAAUGGAGGUCAAUUAAAAAUGAUGGAGGGCUUUUAUUCAUUUUCAGAGUUUUUAAUAUAUUUUAUUUUGUACCAUGGUUAACUUAAACAUUUCUUCAAUGAUAAAGAUCUAGGCCGUUAAAUCCUCGAGAAGGGAGCAGAUAGGAACAAGGAAGAUAGUGUCAGUGUCCUCAUUGUGAGAUAGGACAGUGGUUGGUUGAUCAUUGUUUUGCAUCUGUUGUCUACUGCUCUGUAACAAAUUACCCUACAUUUUGAUGGCUUAAAACAAUAGGAAGCAUUUAUCUGUCACAGUUUCUAUGGGGCAGGAAUCCAGGAGAGGCUUAGUGGGCCAUUUUGGCUUAGGGGCUCUUGUGAGGUUGUACUCAAGAUGUCAGGUAGAAUUGCAGUCAUCUGAAAGCUUGACUGGGGCUGGAGGGUCUGCUUCCAUGGCUCCCUCACAGGGGUGGAGGGUUUGUGCCGCUUAUUGGUGGUGGGCCACAGUUUCUUCCUACAUGGACCUCUCCUCAGGACUGCUCAAGUGUCGUCACAGCAUGACCGCUGACUUCCCUUAGAGCAAUCAGUCCAAGAGAGAGGAAUGAGGAAGUCUCAGAGUGUUUAUAAGCUAGACUCGGAGGUCGUGCACCAUCACUGCUGCAGUAUUCUGUUGGUCAUAGAGGCCAGGCAUGGUUUAACACGGACCAUGGAUACCAGGAGUCUUGAUUCGUUGGGAGCCCUCUUGGAGGCUAGCUACCACACAUACUGUCUUUAAACAUGGAGAAAUUAAAUAAAAGAAGGGCAAGCACGGACAAAGUAUAAAUAUAGGAUUGAUGCGAAGUGAGGAGGUUGAAAAUCUGUAUGUAUAGUGCUGAGAGCCAUUGCAAAAAAGAUGUAGUCUCUUAGUUUUAUGGAAAACAAACCUAUAGACACAGCUUAGUAAGGUUGUAGGAUAUUGUUUUAGGUCUUUUUUUCUCUUUUUAGUGAGGAAGAUUGUCCUUGAGCUGACAUCUGUGCCAGUCUUCCUCUAUUUUAUAUGUGGGACACCGCCACAGUAUGGCUUGAUGAGCCAUGUGUAGGUCUGUGCCCAGGAUCCGAACCUGUGAACCCCGGGCUGCUGAAGUGGAGCAUGCAAACUUAGCCACUACGCCACCAGGCUGGCCCCUAGUUUUAGGUUUUUUGAUUCGUGUAUAUUGACUUUAUAAUUAUUAGUGACUUAACGAGGGAAUCAAUAAAUGAAGAUAUGAAGGAAUGAAGAAAAGGGUGCCAUGUUUGGACCAAUAAUGAAUAUCCUAGGGUGUCUAAACAAUGAUUUUGAUUAAACUCUACAACUGUGAGGUCAGAGACCUCGGUAAUGCCUAAAUGGUGAAUGAGUUUACAGCAGAAGUUAGUAAUACUCAGGGUUUUGCUCUUAGGCCAUUAAAGUUCAUAGGUCUGGAUUGUAUUACUAUAAGUGAACUCAUAAAUGAAUGAAUAAACAAAUAGAUAAAUUAAGACAAGGAGAGCCAUAUGUGGCCCAAUUAUGAGAGUGUGUAAUGUGUUUAUUAUCAUUAAUACAUUUCCUAAGCACUCAGUUCCAACGUAAAUUGAUUAAAUCUGAUAGCUAUUUGGGUAAGGAGCGUAGAGAGAUAAGUACCUAGAAAUCCAUGUUGUUGUUGUUCUGCACGGUUGGGGAAGUGCUGGUUGCUUAUUGAAAACAAGAAGAUAUGACCCAGUUGCUUAUAUCUGGGAAUAAUGAGCACAUGAAUCACUGUUAAUACCAUUCAGAUUUCUCAUCCAGUGUGUAUGUUCACAGAUAUUGAUGAUAUUAUGAGUGAAUGCAUAAGUACCUUUAUCUCUCAACCAGUUAUUUUGGAAAGGGUGGAGCAGGAUUUCUCAACCUCAUACUAUUGACAUCCCAGGCUUGAUAAUUCCUGGUUGUGGCAGGCUGUCCUGUAUGUUGUAGGAUGUGUAGUAACUUCACUGCCUCUACUCACUAGAUACCAAAGUUGACUUUCUUCUCCCAGUUGUGACAAUCAAAAAUGUCUCCAGACAUUGACAAAUAUCACCUGGGAGCAACAGUGCACCCAUUGAGAACCACUGGGGUAAAGCGUGGACCAAUGAGGAGCAUGUGUUGAAAAAACAAUGUGAAUUAUUUGUCCUGUUGUACUUAUUGAUACUCAGAUAAAGAAACAGACACAUAAACUAGACCCCUCCCACUUUGGGUCAGGUUCGUAUGUAUAGUUGCAUUUAAUUGUAUUGUAAUUUAGCUGUUGAUGGUUUGGUCAUAUUGUGUUUUCUCUGGAAAAAUAAACUGAUGUUCAAAUUAUUCAAAUUAGCUCAUGUACAAAAAUGAAUAAAUAAAGCAAUGAAUGAAUAAAUACAUUACAGAAGGUAGGGUCUAGGAUGGACUGUUGGUGAAAAUGUGCCAGGAAAGUAGUAUUUAAAUGUAUCCAGUCCUGCACAAGUGACAUUCAUUAUUAGGAAAAAUGUUCUAGGUUCUUACCAUGUGGGUAGAGAGUACGUAGAGGGAUACUUACAAUAGUCAUCUCUUAUUCUUGUGUUGGGUUAGUAAAUAACAUGCCAGACCAUUCUUGGACCAUUGAUUGAAAUGUGACAUGAAUCAAGGUUUAUGAUUAAUCUAGUACAGGCCUACUAAUACCCCUUAGAAAAUUUAAAUGUAGACUCUUAUAUACUUUUUAAAGUCUGCUUUUAUUCCACACAACGGGUACACCAUACCCAACUUAAUUAUUCUCCAUUGAUGAAAAUCUUGGCUGUCCUUUCUGUGGGUAAAAAGUAUGGGAACAGAUCUAAGUAACAGUCAAAGUUCAUGUUCUUGAUUUGGGGGGUUUGUUCAUGGGUUUUAUUAUUUCAGAGAAAUAAAUAUUUUUUUUAAAUACAUAUUUAAAGAAAAUAAAAAACAUGCAUUGACCAAUGAUAGGAAUGUAUUAUGAAAAACAAAAACAAAAUUAGGUUAUUCCAAUUCAACACAAGUGAGACUGUUUAAAAAAUUAAGAUGGAGGACAUUGCCUUCACUUCACUAUUCCAUUUUGUUUUUGCACCAUAGCUAAUUUAAAUUUUCUCAAGUGACCUAGGCUGUUGACUCUUUAAGGGGAGCACAUAAGAUGGUUGAUAUUGUCAGUGUUUUUGUUGUGGGGUAGGAUGAGGGGGUUCCUGCUCAUUUAUUGUUCCAUAGUUAAAAUACGUCUAAAUUAAACAGAAAGGAGCAAGCAUGGUUCAGCAAUGAGUACAAGAUUUCUAAGAAGCAAGGAAGUUAAUAAUCCAUGUAUGGGACAUUGAGAUUCAUCUGUUGAUCUUAGCAAUGUCAAGGUUCUUAUUGUUGAGAUUUUGGGAUUUUUGUGUGUUGAUUUUGUGAUUAUUAAUGAAUCAGUGAAUGAAUCAAUAAAACAAGGUUCAAAUGGUUGAAGUAAAAGAGUUGCAAACCCAGACCAAUAAUGAGUGUCCUGGGAUGGCUGAGUCAAGAAUUUUGAUUAAGCCCUAUACCUCUGAGAUACAUUAGAAAAAGAAAAUUAUUAUCUCUGUGGGAAAUGAGCGUAUAGGAAAAGUUAGGAAAAUUCAGAUCUUGUUCUUGGUCUGUUGAGGUUCUUGAGUAUAGAUUAUAUUUUUGUGAGUAAAUCAAUGCGUGAAUAAAAGAAUCAAAUAUGUAAAUGGAUAAAGACAAGGAGGGCCUUGAUUGGGCCAAGCUUAUGAGAGUAUAUAAUGAACUAAGGAACAGGACUAAUACCAUUUGGAUGUGCUGAAUUCCCCUAAAAUAAAUAGAUUAAGGCUCUUAUGCUUUUGGGUAAGGAACAUUAGAGGACAACUGUACGUAGGAGUCAGUGUUACUGUUGAUGGGUAACAGGUUUUUUAAAAUGUUGCCUCCUUUUGCAAAAGACUUCGUUAUUUUAGAGCAGUUUUAGGUGCAAAAUUUAGUGGAAUGUAGAGAUUUCCUGUAGUCUCUGCCUCCACACAUGCAUAGCCUCCCCCACUAUCAACAUCCCCCACAGGAGUGAUACAUUUCUUAAAACUGAUGAACCGACAUUGACAUCAUUAUCACUCAGAGUCCAUAAUUUACAUCAGGGUCCACUCUUGGUUGUAUAUUCAGUAGUUUUGGAUAAAUGUAUAAUGAUAUGUGUCCACCAUUAUAAUUUCAUACAGAAUAUUUCUCUGCCCUAAAAUUCCUCUGUGCUCUGCCUAUUUAUGCCUCUCUAACCUCUGGCAACUACUUUUACUGUCAUCAUAGUUUUGCCUUUUCCAGAAUCUCAUAUAGUUGGAAUCCUAGAGUUUGUAGCCUUUUCAUAUUGUCCUCUUUUACUUAGUAAUAUGCGUUUAGGUUCCUUCAUAUCUUUUCAUGGCUCCAUAGCUCAUUUCUUUGUAGUGCUAAAUAAUCUUCCAUUGUCUGGGUGGCCCACAGUUUAUUUAUUCAUUCACCUACUGAAGGACGUCUUGGUUGCUUCCAAGUUUUGGCAAUUAUGAAUGAAGCUGCUAUAAUUAUCCUUGUGCAGGUUUUUGUGUGGACGUAAGUUUUCAGCUCCUUUGAGUAAAUACCAAGGAGUGCAAUUCCUGCCUUGUAUGGUAAGAGUAUGUUUAAUUUUGCAGAAAACUGGCACAUUGUCUUCCAUUCCCACCAGCAAUGAAUGAGAGUUCCUGUCGCUCCACAUGCUCUCCAGCAUUUGGUGUUAUGAGUGUUCUGGAUUUUGGACAUUCUGAUAACUAUGUAGUGGUGUCUCGUUGUUUUAAUUUGUGUUUCCCAAAUGACAGAGGAUGUGGAGCAUCUUUUCAUGUGCUUAUUUGCCAUCUGUAUAUCUUCUUUGGUGAGGAGUCUGUUAAGGUCUUUGGCUCAUUUUUUAAUUGGGUUGUUUGUUUUCUUAUUGUUUAUUUUUAAGAGUUCUUUGUAUGUUUUGAAUAACAGUCCUUUAUCAGAUAUGUCUUUUGCAAAUAUUUUCUCCUAGUCUGUGCCUUGUUUUUUGUUCCCUUGACAGUUUCUUCAAAGAGCAGAAACUUAAUUUUAAUGAAUUCCAGCUCACCAAUUAUUUCUCUUACAUAUUGUCUUUUGUGAUGUAUAUAAAAAGUCAUUGCCAAACCCAGGGUCAUCUAGAUUUUCUCCUUUGUUAUCUUCUAGGAGGUUUAUAGUUUUACAUUUUACAUUUCAGUCUGUGAUCCAUUUUGAGUUAAUUUUUGUGAAGUGUAUAAGGCCUGUGUCUAGAUUCCUUUUUUUUUAUGUGGAUGUCCAGUUAUUCCAGCAUCAUUUGUUGAAAAGACUGUCUUUGCUCCAUUGUGUUGCCUUUGAUCCUUUAUCAAAGAUCAGUUGACUGUCUUUAUGUGGGCCUAUUUCUGGGCUCCCUAUUCUAUUCUAUGUAUCCAUUUGUCUUUUCUUUUGCUAAUACCACACUGUCUCAAUUUCUGUAGCUUUAUACUAAAUCUUGGAGUCAGGUAUUGCUGGUCCUUCAACUUUGUUUUUCUUCAAUAUUGUGUUAGCUAUUCUGGGUCUUUUGCCUAUCCGUUCAAACUUUAGAAUCAGUUUCUCUACAUUCACCAAACAAAUUGCUGGGUUUUUGAUUGGUAUUGUAUUGAAUCUAUAGGUCAAUUUGGAAAGACCUGACAUCUUGACAAUAUUGAGUCUUCCUAUCCAUGAACAUGGAAUAUCUCUCUAUUUAUUCUUUGAUUGCUUUCCUCAGAGCUUUGUAGUUUUUCUGUUAUAGUUCUUAUGUAUAUUUUGUUUGAUUUGUAGCUAAGUAUUUCAUUUUUGGGGUGCUAAUGGGAAUAGUAUUUUUUUAAAUUUCAAAUUCUACUUAUUCAUUGCUGGUAUAUAGGAAAGCAACUGACUUUUAUAUAUUAACCUCGUAUCCUGCAAUCUUGCUAUAAUCGCUUAUUAGUUCCAGGAGAUUUUUGGUUGAUUCUUUCAAAUCUACAUAGAUGACCAUGCCAUCUGCAAACAAGGACAGUUUAAUUUCUUCCUUCACUGAUAAUAUAAGUUUUAUUUCCUUUUCUUGCCUUAUUGCAUUAGCUAUAACUUCCAGUACAAUAUUGAAAAGGAGUGGUGAGAGGGCUUCUAGUUUCUAGUCAUUAUGAUGUCAGCUCUAGUUCUUUUGUAGAUAUUCUUUGUCAAGUUGAGGAAAUUCCUCUCUAUUCCUAGUUUACUGAGAAUUUUUAUCAUGAAUGGGUGUUGAAGUUUGUCAGAUUUUCUGCACCCGAUGACAUGAUCAUGUGAUUUUUCUUCCUUAGCUUGUUGAUGUGAUGGAUUACAUUAAUUGACUUUUGAGGGUUGAACCAGCCUUGCAUACUUGGGAUAAGUUCUAGUCAAUCAUAGUAUAUUUCUUUUUAUACAUUAUUGGAUUCGAUUUGUUAAUAUUUUGUUGAGACUUGUGCAUCUAUGUUCAUGAGAGAUAGUGUUCUGUACUUUUCUUAUUUCUUUUUCUGGGUUCAAUAUUAGGGUAGUGUUGGCCUCCUAGAAUGAGUUAGGUAGUAUAUCUUCUGUGUCUAUCUUCUGAAAGAGACUUUAGAGAAUUGGUAUAAUUUCUCCCUUAAAUAGUAGGUAGAAUUCAUCAGUGAAGCAACCUAGGCCUGGUGCUUUCUGUUUUGGAAGGUUAUUAAUUGUUGAUUUAAUUUCUUUAAUAGAUAUUUGCCUAUUCAUAUUGUCUACUUCUUCUUGUAUGAAUUUCGGCAAACUUUGUCUUUCAAGGAGUUGGUCCAUUUCAUGUCUGUUAUCAAAUUUGGGGCAUAGAAUACUUCCUAGUAUUCCUUGAACGUCCUUUUAACGUCUAAGCGAUUUGUAACGAUGUCCCCUCUUUCAUUUCAGAUAUUACAAUUUGUGCCCUCUCUCUUUUUUUCCUCAGUUAGCCUGGCUAGAGGCUUACUGAUUUUUCCAAAGAACCAGCUUUCAGUUUCAUUGAUUUUUCUCUGUUGGUUUGUUUUCAGUUUCAUUGAUUUCUACUUUAAUUUUUAUUAUUUCUUUCAUUCUGCUUAUUUUGAGUUUAAUUUGUUCUUCUUUUUCAAGUUUCCUAAAGUAGAAACCUAGAUUACUGAUUUUAGAUCUUUCUUCUUUGCUUUAAAUAAAAAUUGUGUAUAUUUAAGGUAUACAACAUGAUGUUUUCAUAUACAUAUACAUAGUGAAAUGAUUACUACAGUGAAGCUAAUUAACAUUAAUUUCCUCACAGUUAUUGUUUGUUUGUUUUUGUCAUAAGAGCAACUGAAAUCUACUCUAUAAGCAAAUUUCCAGUAUACAAUAUGAUAUUAUUAACUAUUGUUAUCAUGCUGUACAUUUGAUCUCUAGAACUUUUUCAUCCCACAUAACUGCAACUUUGUACCUUUGACUAAUAUCUGUGUAUUUCCUCCACUUCCCCACUCCUGGUAACCACUGUUCUACUCUCUGCUUCUGUGAAAGUGACUUUUUUAGAUUCCACAUAUAAGUGAAAUCGUGCAGUAUUUUUCUUUCUAUGUCUAUCUUUUUUCACUUAGCAUAAUAUUCUCCAGGUUUACUUACAUUGUUGCAAAUGAAAGCAUCACCUUUUUUUAAGGCUUAAUAAUAUUCUACUGUAGAUAUACCACAAUUGCUUUGUUUAUUCAUCUGUCAACAGACGCUUAGGUCUUCUUUUCUUAUAUAUGCAUUUAAUGCUAUAAAUUUCCCUACAAGUACUGCUUUUGUUGCAUCCAUUUUUUUGGGUGGGGGGAACAGGAAACAUUUACAUAAAUAGACAAUUGAUUGAGAAUAUAUCUCAUUGAAUGAGAAGCAAGUAUAGACACAUGUUGGCAAAGUGUUAUAUGAGAAGUAUUGGGAUUGAUCAGAUCGUAUUCACUAAACUUUAAUAACAACCCAAAAGUGAUCUAGUCAGUUAUUUCUGUGACUAACAAGUAGAUAGACAGAUGUUAGUAUCAUUCAGGAUUUAUUUCUAGUGUCUUUGCAUUCAUAGAUAUUGACAUGUUAUAAUUCAAUGAAUGAAUAAAAUUCUGUUUUAGUUAUAUAAAAUAAGACAAAGCUCACAUCAAUGAAGACCAUGUCGUAGGUGGCACUGAUAAUUAUUAAUUUGAGUUUUCACUACUGAUGUUUAUAGAAAGAAAAAAUUCCUAGCCCACCCCAGUUUUUGCUAAGGUAUGUGUAGGUGAUGGCAUAUAACAGUAUUUCUGUUGUGAAUUACUGGCUGGUUUGCCAUUUCACCUUUGUAUAAUGAGCAUAUGGUCAAAUCAUUCCAUGAGUAAUUAAAUAAAUGAAUAAUCGAAUGAACAAAUGAACAUAUAAAAUGCAAUCAACCAUGAGUCAUCACUGAGAGCUUGAAAUUAGGAUGCAAAUGUACCCAAUUCUGUAAAAGUAGCAUUCAUUCAAAUGUUCUUUUAUUCUGUGAAAAGUUUUAAAAUAUAAAGAUAUUUUUGAUAGACAUUUUUCUUAUUCUUAUUCAGCAGUGGCUAUUACAUUGUUUAAAAGUAAAAGUAAAAUACUAUCCUAAUUAAACUAUUUAGUUUUACAUAAUUAGUAUACAUUAAAAAAUUAGGAUAAUUCUGCUUUUUCCUCCCCAGAAUGACCAUGGGACAGUGGACUUACUCAUUUUCUAAGUGGGUAAAGAACACAGAGACAAACGUAAGUCCCACUGCAAGUUCCCAUCCUUGGUUGGGAUGCUUUGUUCACUAGUGUUUAGCGUUAUUUGAAAAGAACCAAUGUCUGUAUACGAACUAAAAUUCCCCAAGUAUGGACCAGUGAUGGGAAUAUGUUAUGAAUCAAAAAUCGUGUUUAAUCUAAUUCGGCACAACUGAAAUGAUUAAAAAAGAUAGUAGUCGUUUCCUUCAUUUUCAGAACUAUUUAAUAUUACAUUUUACUUUCCUCCACCAACGACUUAAACGUUUUCACAUUGGUAUAGUCUUGGCUGAUAACCGUUUGUGUGGCAGCCCAUAAGAAAAUGGAAGAUGUUGGGUCUGAGAAGUGACUAAAAAUGGUGGUUUCCUCAGUUUUCAUUGACCCAUCUUCAGAACAUGGGCUUAAAAAUUAAAUAGACGACAGCCACAGAAGGACCAAUGGUGAAUGUGGAUUUGGUGUGAGGCAUGUUCUCUGAGGUCCAUUGUCAAAGGAGACUAGUCUAUUCAGUCUAUGGGGAAAGAGCCACUAAUGGGGAGAUCUUGUUUCUGGAAUUUUAUGAUUGUAUUGUUAUUCAUGGAUCAAUGAAUAAAUAAGUAAAUGAAGAUAUAAAGGAAGGAAAACAUGCCUGGACCAAUGAUGAGUACCAUGGGGUAUCUGAAACAGGAGCUUUGAUUAAACCCAUAUCAACUCUGAGGUCCAUUACAGAGAGACGUGGAGUUAUUCCCUCUGCGGGAAAUGAGCCCAUGGUACCCUGUGCUGGGGCUUUUGUGGUUCUUGGGGGUGGAUUGUGUUUUUAUUAUAAAAUUGGCCCACAAAUAAAUAAAAUGUAUCAAAGAAUGAGAAAAAGAAGACAAGUCAUGCACCUAUUAUUAAGGAAUGUAAUGAAACAUGGAUUACUAUUAAAAUGUGGCUGAGACUCUGACUUCCAUUAAGUUACUAGUAAAGGCUCUGACUGCUCUAAAAAGGAGUAUAUGGUCAUUUGUAGGUAACACUCUAGAGUUUUUGUUUUUUGGUGGUGGUGGGUUGCUGACCGAUUGUUUUAUUAAGGAAUGGAAAGACAUUUACUCAGUUGGUUGGUUAAAUAACCACAUAAUUGAGAGCUAGGCAGAGACCAAUGAUAACAGUGAUUUGUAUGACAACACUCAUAGUUAAUCCAGUCUUUUUUUUACCGAUUUUUAUUGAAACAAUAAGAAACGAGCUAGUCUCUUAUUCUUGCUGUCAAUGACUGUGUCCAGUGGAUAAGAUUACAGAUACCUGUGCCUUUGCAUAAGAGAAAGAAGGUAUAAUUUUGUAUUUCAAUCUAUUUUUCAAAAGUCAGCAAACCAUGGACCAGUUAGGAGCCAUGUUUUAAUAUGAGGAUAAUGGUUCAUCUUGUUUUCCAAUGACGGAUAUUCUAAGAAAAAUUCUAGUCUCUUCUAUAUUUUGAAAGGUGCAUCUGGACAUCUCCAAGUUGUAAUAAUUUGGUUCUGAGUUAGUGUUUAACCAUUAUAAAUUUUCAUUAGAAAAAUGUGGAUAUGGUAUUAUUAUUCCCUGAAUAAUAAAAUAAAUUAGUGAGUGAAUUUGUAAAUCUGUAACAAUUUGUAGAGCGUUGGUGAGAUUGUAUCAUGAAACAAAUGAAACAUGUCCAAUUCUGCACAAAUAAGUCCAGUAAAAAGAUGAUCUUGGCUCCUCCUUUCUGCACAGCAAGUGAAUUUGUUUAGUAGUAAAACUUCAGUAAGUAAAUAAAGAGUGCCCUUCUUGGGAAGAUGAUGAGAAUGUGUUAUGAAGUAGGGUUCAUGAUUAAUCUAGUCCUCCUGACAAAUUUCAACUUAAAAACCUAACUCUAUGUUCCUUGUUUUUAAAAAUAGGCCUUUUGUUUUUCUUUAUAGAAGAACAAGACAGAGCUGAUCUAAUCAUCCUGUAACUGUGUAGGCCCUGGCUCUUACUUCUGGGACCAAGGAGCAUGAACACUGAUAGUGAACAUAAGACAGCCGAUUUCAUCAUUUAAUAAAGAAUUGUUAUCGUGAGCAAGGAGCAUAAAGACAAAUAUAAAGUGAAUGCACUCUACCAGAUUUGGUUGUCAUCUCGUGGUGAAGAUCUUGCCUUUUACCUCUUUGGGUAAAAAGAGGUCAAUUCAUUGUCCAUUGAUGGGGAUCUUGACUGUUACUUCUGUGAGUAAGGAACAAUGUAAGUAGCAAAGGUUCUCUUCUUGGUUUGUAUGGUUUGUUCACAUGAGCUCACUGAGGUAGUUCAAUAGAACAACAUCCAAUAACACCAACUAUGGACCAAUAGUGGGAAUGUGUUAUGGGCCAAGGAGUAGAAUUAACCCAUGUUAGCACAAAUGAGAUUCAUUUCUUAAAUUGAUGGAAGGCAUUUAAUUAAUUUUCAUAACCGUUUGCUAUUUCAUAUUAUUUCUGCACCACAGUUGAUUUAAGCAUUUCCAUAUUGGUAGAGAGCCAGGCUGUUUGCUAUUUAGAGGAAGCCCUUGGAAGGUGGAACAUAUUGUCUGUGUUCUAGAAGCGGGGUACCAUUGUGGUUUUUGGUUGUUUAUUAUACCAUGUUUAAAAUUGGAUAAAUUAAAUGAACAUGGCCCAAUCAUGGAUCGUUUUUAGGGAGGGCACUGUUAUGAAACCAGGUUUACACUGAGAUCUAGUGUAAAAGUUCUGGGAGAAAUCAGUCUAGAGACAGAUCAUAGUUAAAUCAAGGACCUUGUUCUCGGGAGUUUGUGAUUCAUGCGAAAGUGAAGAUAGAAAUGCAUGAAGAAGAGGAGUGCCAGGCCUGGACCAAUGAUGAGAUUGGAGGGUGUCUGAAUCAAAACUUUUGAUUAAAGCCAUCUGGAACUCUGAGGUCCAUUAUUAAAAAGUGUCCUCCUUUCUUCCUCUACGGAAAUGAGCUUAUCACAGAAGUUCAGAACUUUCAGGCAUCUUGACCUUGGGCAUACACAUUUCAUAAGUACGGAUUUAAUUUUUAUAAGUAAAUCAAGGCAUGAGUGAAUGAAGAAAUGUCAAAAUGGGUAAAUAUAAGGAAAGUUGUACAUUGGCCAAUGAUGAGGCAUGGGUUAUUAUUAAACAUUUCUGUAGCACUGAAUUCCAGUGAAAUAUAUUCAUAUAUCUCUUUUGGAAGGAGUGUAUAGACAGAUAUAUAUAAGACUCAAUUUUAUUGUUUGAUGUAGGUGGUUAUUUGCUGGUUGGUUGUUUUAGAGAAGGGAAAAUUAUGUAAAUAAAUAAUUUAUUAAGUAGUUAUUUAAUUGGAAAAAGAAUGAGCAUAGUUCAACUUGAGAAUAUGCCUUAUGAAAAGACUUAUUAUUAAUCUCCCUCUGUUCACUGCGUUUUAUUAAAAACAAGGAAAAGCAUUUGGUUUUUGAAUCUCUGUGGGCAAUGUAAUAGACAUAUCGAGACAGAGCAAUAUUAUUCGAGUUUCCUAAGGUUAGUUAAUUCCCAGUUAUUGAUAAAUUACUACGUGUGAAUAGAUUAUGUCCUAAUCACAGUCAGUAGUUAAAAACGGGACAAAACAUGGCCCUGUAAGAAGCAAGAAUAAUGAUUAAUCUUUGUCUGUACUACUGAUCCUCUCUUCCUAGUUUAGGUUUGGGCAUUUACACACACAAGGGGCAUUUCUAUUCUAGGUUGUUCAUGGCUUUACCAUUGUGUAUGUUUGUGUGUUAGUAUAUUUGAAUAUAUGAUCAAAUAUUCCAUGAGUCAUUUCAUAGACGAAUAAACAAAACAAUGAACGAUUGAGUUAACAUAUAAAUAGGGUCAAGCGUAGAUCUUGGUGAGGAUGUGCCAUGAAUGACAAAUUUAAAUUCACCCAUUUCUAUACGAAUUGAGUCCAUUAAAAAAAAGAGUAUUUAGGCUCUUGCCUACACGGGCAGGACUGUGUGGACAGAUAUGUAGAAUAUCAUAGUCCUUAUUUUUGAAUGAUGAACGUGGCAGUGUUCAUUGUUACUUAAAAUUAGCAGUCACAUCAGGAAAUAAAGGGGGCUGUUCUUGGGUCAGUGAUGAAAGUGAGACUUGAAUCAACUUCAUGAUUAACCUAAUACCACACAACUAAUGUCCUUUAAAUCAAGCUAAACCUGGACUCUUCCUUCUUCUAAAUGUUGGCAUUGGACUCCACAGAAGGAAGCCCAUGGCUGAUUCAGUCAGGCUCUGCUGCUGAAGAUCUCACCUGUUACCUUUGUGGGUAUGGAAUCUGAUGACUAAUGUAGAUAAUAGUCAGAAGAUCUUGUCAGUUGGGGUAAAUUUUUUAUUAGUGUUUAUUGAAUUAUUGAAAUUAAGCCAUACAUAGACUGAUGAUAUGAAUGUGUUACGAAACAAAGAUUACGGUUAAUCUGUUUUAAUAGAAUUUUGGUUUGAAUAAGAUGGAAGACAUUCUGUUCAUUUUCAAAGCUGAUAGUAAUCCACCUGUGUGUACUACAUUUGAUUUAAACGUUUAUCUAGUAAUAAAAUCUAGGGCUGCACUGUCCAAUGUGGUUGCCGCUAACCACAUGUGGCUAUUUAAAUUUAAAAUAAUUGAAAUUAAAUGAAUUUUCAAUUGGGUUCCUCAGUUGCACUAGCCACAUUUCAAGUACUUAGGAGCUACGGGUGGCUAAUGGUGACCGAAUUGUACAGUGCAGUUAUAACACAUUCACAUUAUCAGGCAAAGUUCUAUCUGAAAACUCCUCGUCGAUGGAGGAGUGCAUAGCAAGAUGGAAGAUAGUUGAAAUAGGGUGUGUAUGAAGCAAGAAUGUUCAUUGAUCCAUACAUACGUCAUUGAGGGCCACUGCAUAAAGAGAUCAAGUCUCUCGAGAAAAGAUCUAGUUUAUGGGAAGAGAGCCUAUAAACAGAUCUUGGUCAUAUUCAAGGAUCUUGUUCUUGGCUUUUUAUUUUUAUUCAUAGAUAUUGAUUUUAUUGCUGUUAGUGGAUCAAUGAAUGGAUCAAUAAACAAAGUGUAAAUGAAGAAAAAGAUUGCUUAGCCUGGAUCAAUGAUGAGUACCCUGGGGUGUCUGAAAUCAAGGAUUUUGAUUAAACCCUGUGACUCUGAGGUCCAUUACGGAAAGAUUCCUCUUGUUAUCUCUAUGGGAAGUGAGCUUAUUCUAGGAGUUAAAAAUAUUCAAAAGUUUGUUCUUGGGCUUCUGUGUAUUGUAUUUUCAGUAAAUCAAAGCAUGAAUAAAUUAAGAAAUGUAUAAAUGAAUGAAGACAAAAAGAAUUAUUCCUGAGCCAAAUAUGAGAGUAUGUAAUGUAAUAUAGGUAAUAUAAAAAUCAUUAUCAAUCCAUUUCUGAAGCACUGAGUUCUAGUAAAAGAAAUUGAUUAAAGCUGAGCCUUUGGGGUAAGGAGCGCUGAGAUAAACGGAUGUAAGAGCCCAUGUUGUUUUUCUGGGUUGGGUUGUUGGUUUUUUGUUUUAUUAAGAGAAGGGCAAAACGUUUAAUUAUUGAUUAAAUACAUAAUUAAGAGAGGGCUUACACCCUGGCCUAUGUUGAGAAUCUGUCACGUUACCAGUUAUGAUUAAUCCAAUCAUCUUCACUAUUUUUUAGUUUAAAAAAGAUAAGGAAAAAUCAUCUGAUCUUUUUCCUGCACCUAAUGAGCAUAUGGACAGGCAUUAAUAUUGUCUUGUUUCCGUGGAGUUGCAAAUAUUACAAAUAUAUAAAAGAUAAGUUAAUAUUUUAAUCAAUUAUUUGAAGGAAGGCAAAGCGUGGACCAGUGAGGAGCGCGUGUUAGGAAACAAGGCGAGCGAUGAAUGUAGUUCUACACAAUUGCUCUCCAGACAAAGAAAACAGACCUAGGCUCUUGUUGAGUGUGUUUACAUAGGAUUCCUCUUUCUGGCUUUUUGGUAAGAGUUUCUUUGAAAAAUGCAAGAUAAAUGACUCCAUGUCUAACCAAAUACAUACAUACAUAGAUAAAGGUGGGCAAACGCGGACCAUUGCUGCGGAUGUGCUCGAAUUUAGGACUCAGAUUAAUCUAAUUCUUUCCAAGCAAAGCUCAUUUAGAAAGAACAUAUGGCUCUUACUGGGCUCGGGAGGGGACAUAGAAACAGGCAUGUGCAAUAGUUCUUAUUCCUUUGUCUGGUGUUGGUUUCAAAAGUGUUCAUUAUAUCAGUUAAAUUUAAUAGUCAAAUCAAUUGUUCAAUCAAUAAGUAUGUCUUUCAGAGUUUUAAUAUGCAGCAAGCACUAAGGUUUAUUCCUAAUCAAUUAUUGUUGCCUUGAACUCAAUUUGAAAAAAUCUAAAUCAAGGCUGUUCUAUCUAUUUACCUAGUCUAAUCUCAUCUACUAUUAUAUUUGCUUUAUACUCCAGAGAAUGGGCGCACCGUGAUUCAGUUAAGGAGUGUAGAAUCUUAUGGUGGGCAGUCGAGCUGAUUGAAGCAUCUUCCGUGAUCGGAAGCUCCAUAUGUAGGAGAAUGGAGAUGAGUAAUGGGUGCACUGGAGGUGGUUUAAGGAUUCUUCUGUGGUGACAAGAUGUCUGGUUGUCUCUCUGUGUUUGGCACAUAGAAACAAAUAAUGAACACAUCGAAGCUGAUUUAAGAAUUAUGCCUUGGUCAACAAUCUCUAUAUUUGUCUGUAGGAGCAUGGAAACCAACGUGAGUAAUAGUCAGUGUUCUCAUCUUACUUUGGGUGGUUUGUUUAGGAUAUUCUCUGUAAUAUUUUUAAAAAGUACUCAAUAUAAGAUAAAAGACCACCCAUGGUCCAGUGAUUAAAAUGGAAAUAUAUGAAACAUUAUGUUGAUUAAUCUAUCUUUACAACAGUGAGGAUGAUCAAUGAAAGAGAUUAGGCAAUGAUUCUAAAGAAAAAUGAUAAAGACACUGAAGGCUCUUGUCCUUGAGUUUUGUGAUUCAUAGAUAUUUAUUUAAUUACUAUUAGUCAAUUGAUGAAUUAAUCAUUGAACAAAUGUAGAUAGGAAUGGAGAAAAAGAGGCCCAGAUCUGGACCAAUGAUGGUGACUGGUGGCGUACGAGUCAUGAACGAUGAAUGCUACGUGUCUGGAAGUCUGAGGUCCAAGAUAAAACAAAAUCUAGUGUUUCUUCUCUCACAAGUGACCCCAUGGAUCCAUGCUAGGAAUAUUCAAGGAUAUUGUUCUUGUAAUCUUGGAUUCAUAGAUUUCUAUAUUAUUAAUAUAAAUGGAUCAAUGGUAGAACCAAUAAAUAUAUAAAUUAAAAAAACAAAGAUGAAGCCUUGUCUGCCUAUGAAUAUGUGUGGUGAGGCAAGAUAUAUUAUUAAUAUAAGCUGAUGCAUGUUAAGAAAUAAAUGGACCAACGGUGUUACCUCUUUUUCUAAGGAUCAUAUCAUACUUAUAUUUAUGCUUAUAUAUGUAUCUAAAUUAUGAAAAAUAAUAAAUACCUUUAUGACUGAUUAAACAAAAUGAGCAAAACAAGGACCAAUUUAGAAGACGGUCUCAAGUUUCCAUAUCAUCUGCUCUGCUCUGUACUCCUCAGAUGGAUGCUCUCGAGUGGGUUUAAGCAUCUUCUAUGAUCACAUGCUCGACAGUUGCCUCUGUGUAAUGAGUAUAGAGACCAGUGUAAGUAAUAAAGUUCAUGCCUUUGUUUCAGAGGUUUCUUUCCCCCGGUAUUCACUGUAUUGUUAAAAGUGUGAAAUAUAAUCCAAGACACAAACUAUCAUGAAUGCUAACUAUGAGUUUGGUCUGCAGUGUUAUAUUUAUUAAUCCAUACAUGAAACAUUGAUGGUAAUGAAAGACAUAGCAAUGUGCAAAUGAUACUAUAGGCAGAUGCAGAAUAUUGCUUUUAUUCUUGGGGUUUUGUGAAUCAGUGAGUUUUAAAAAUUAAUGUUAGUGAAUUAGUGAAUUAAUGAGUAAACUUAUGCAGAUGAGAGUGAAGAAAAAGAGGCCCACAUAUGGACCAAUGAUGACGACUGGUGCGUAUGAGUCAUGGAUGAUGAAUAUUACGUGUCUGAAACUCUGAGGUCCAACAAAAAAGAAAUAUAAUUUAUUGCCUCUGUUUGACAUGAUAUUAUAGACAUAUAUUACGAAAAUAAAAAAUAUAGAAAAUAAAAACCAAUUUUCUUGGUUUGUGUUUCUGAAGUUUGAUUUUACUGUAAAAAAAUGGCCCAAAGAAACCAUCACUGUAAAAGCAUAAAUAGUUAAAAGUUAAGUGUAGAAGUAUAAAUAGCGUAAAAGGUAAUGAAGGGGGUGGAGCACGUCCACUCUUAAUGUAUGUGCUGAGGUGAUGAAACAAUGAACAUUUACUGAGAAUGCUGAAGUUCGCUAAGAAAUGUAAAUGGUUCACGUGUCUUACCUCUUCAGCUAAGUAUGAUAUAGGCAAUGAAUAAUGGUUUAAGUUCUUGUUCUGAGUUAGUGUUAGGUUCACUAUUGUUCAAUUUUUUAAGAUAAAAGUAAUGAAUAUGUCCCCAAUUUGCUAUAUUCAUAAAUAACUUACUAAAUGAAGGUGGAAUGUAUGCAUCAGUAGAGAAUAUCUCAAUCUUGUCAUUAUCUGUUCUGCUUUGUACUCCUCAGAAUAGACACCUGAACUUAUUUAAGCGUUUGGCCAUGAUCAGGAGCUCCAUCGAUGCCCCCGUGCACGAGCGUGGAGACCAAUAAUGGAGGCGAGAGCUUCUGUCACGAUCAAGAUCUUCGUGUUGCCUCUGUUGGAAAGAGACCAAGGGACAUACUGGAGCUGAUGGAAGAAUUCUUUCACUGCUGCACCCUCUUUGUUGGCUCUGUGUGUUAGGUGCAUGGAGCACAACAAAGAAAACACCUGAAAUGGUUUAAGCAUCUGCCCUGUUCAGGAGCCCCAAAGUAGCCUCUCUCUGUAGGAACAUUUAGUCCAGUAAUGGACACACUCAAGAUGAUUUAACUAUUUUUAUGGUCCCGAGAUCUGUGGUUUCCUCUGUGUGUUAAGAGCGUAGAGACUAAUAACGAGCUGAUUUAAGCAUCUUUUGUGGUCCCCAGCUCUGUGGUUGCAUCCGUGUGUUAGGAGCAUAGAGACCAAUAAUGGACAUGCUCCAGCUGAUUUAAGGAUUCUUCCAUGCUCACACGUUCUAUGGAUGCAUCUGUGUGUUACAGUGUGGGGAACAAUGUUCUGCCGAUGCUGCCUGUUGGGAAACAACGUUUUGAGAAUCGCUGAUAAUAGGCAGAUCUAUGUGACGUUAGUUAAUGUCUUUGCUCUGCAUCAGUGAAUGGAUGUACCUGAACUGAUUGAAGCAUUCUGAAAAGACCAAGAGCUCUAGGCCGCCGCUGUGUUUAGGAAUGUAUAUUUAAAGUUUUCCCUGAACAUUCCUUAAUUGAUAAAGAUAUAAGCUAUUUUCAUGAUGAGGAAAAAGCACUUAGGAGAUGGGGCGUGCUCACUGCUAAUCCAGCUUCUACCGUGAUCUCAGGAUCAGAAGCUUCUGGUUGCCACUAUGUGUGGGGACCCGUGUGAGUAAUAGAUUUCUUGUCAAGGUUUGGGUGGUUUGCCUAAGGGUAUUCACUGUGUAAAGACCUAUGAAAUAUAAUCACAGAAGGCCAGUCAUAGCGUAAUAAUGAAGCCAGUGUUGAUGUGAGGCAUGCUGUUGGUUAAUUGAUUUACUAAAUAUUGAGGUCAAAUAGAGAAAGAGAUCUAGUCUCUGUGAGAAAUAAUUCUAUAGACAGAUGUUAGGAAUUUUCAGGAAACUUCUUCAUGGGUUUUUGUGAUUCCUGUGAAUUUAUUUUAUUAUUAUUUGUGAAUUGUUGAAUUAAUAGAGAAGAUGAAGAAUAAAAGGGAAAACCUGGACCAGUGGUGAUGGCCGGUGCAUGUGAGUCAUACACAGUGAGUAGUGCAUGUCUGAAACUCAGAAGUCCAACACGAAAGGAAUCUAGCACAUUCACCCUGUUUGAAGUGUUCCUGUAGGCAUACGUCAGGAAUAUACAAGGAUAUUUUUGUUGGAUUUCUGGCCAUGGAUUUUUAAAAAUACUGUUAUAAAAGAAUCAAUGGCAGAAUAAAUGAACAAAUAUAUAAAUGAAUAAAGAAGGAGGUGAAGCAUUGUUUAUUGUCAAAAUAUGUAAUAGGUAAAAAUAAUAUUAACAAAUUGGAAUGAAAAACAAAAGGACCAAGUGUAUGACAUCUUUCACUAAAUCUUGAUAUAGACAGUAAUAAGUAAUGGUUGUAAGUUUGAUGUUUGAUUUAUUAAGAGAAAAAUAAAUAAAUAUUACUAGAAAUAAAUAAAUCCCUGACUAUGUAUAUGAAUGGUGGGAAGUAUGGAUCAAUGGAGAGCAUUUCUCAACCUUUUUGUUACCUUCUCUGCUUGCUACCUUUCAGGACAGGUGUUGGAGCUGAUUUUAGCUUCUGCCAUGAUCAAGAUUGUCAUGUUGCCUGUGUGUUAGGAAAAAGAUUAAGGUGAGUAAUGAUCAAAGAUCUUGUCUUGGUUCAGGUCAUUUGCUUAAGGAUAUGCUUGCAUUACUAAAAACUAUUAAAUUAAUAAAAAAGUUAUCUAGUUUCCAAAAAGAAAUAUGAUAUGAAAUAUGUUGACUAAUCAAUAAUGUAUAACAUUGAGAUUAACAGAAGUGGUAUUGUCUAUGUGGGAACUGAUUGUAUAGAAAGAUGGUAGGGCUAUUCAAGGAUCUUGCUCUUGGUUUUUUUGUGAAUCAUGGAUUUAUUUUAUUAUUAUCAAAGAAUUAAUGAUUUAAUCAAUACAAAUAUAGACAUAAAUGAAGAAAAAGAGGCCCAAACAUGGACCAGUGAUGCUGACUGGUGGUGUAUGUGUCUUGGUUGAUGAAAACAAGUGAGUUCCAAGACAAAACUCAAUUAGUCCUGACCCUCUUUUGAAAAUGAUCCUAUGGACGUCAAAAAUAUACAAAGGUCAUGUUUUUAUUUUGGAGUCAUAGAUUUAUAUUUAUUAUUAUUAAUGGAUCAAUGAUAGAACAAUUAAACAAAGAUAAAGGAAGAGAAAGUGAAGCAUUGUCCAGUUUUGCACAUACAUGAUGAGACAAAAUAGGUUAUUAAUAAAAAUUGAAAAAUUGAUGUCUAUUAAGAAAUAAAUGGAUCAAGGGUGUUACUUGUUUGGCUGAGCAUCACAUAGACAUGGAUAAUUAAGAGUCAGUUUUAUUAUUUUGGAUUAGUUUCAAGUUUGAGGUUAUUUCCUUUAAUAGAAAACAUACACAUAUAUAAUGAAAAAUUAAUAAAUACCUUAAAAAUUGAGUAAAUGAAGCAUGGAAAGGAAGGAUCAAUGUAGAUCAGGUCUUAAUUUAUUUUAUCAACUGCUGUGCUCUGUACUCCUCAGAAUGGACACACUUGAGGUGACUUAAGCAUCUUCCACGAUCUUGAGCUCUGUGGUCGCAUCAUGCAUUAGGAAUGUGGAACCGAUAAUGGAUGCCCUUGAGCUGAUUUAAGCAUCUUCCAUGGUCAGGAGUUCUGUGGUUGCACCUGUGUGUUAGGAGCAUGGAAAACAAUAAUGGAUAUAUUCCAGCUGAUUUAAGCGUCCUCCCUGGUCAGGAGCUCUGUCGUUGCAUCUCUGUUUGAGCAGCAAGGAGACCAACAAAAAGAGGCCCAGAAGUGGACCAGUGAUGACCACUGCUGCGUAGGAGUCAUAUAUGACUGGGUGCCGUCAAGGUGAUUUAAGGAUUCGUCUGUGGUCACAAGGUCUCGUUGCAUUCGUGUGUUAGGAGACCAUAAUGGUCGCAUUCAAGCUGAUUUGAGCACUCCGCCCUGGUCAGGAGCUUUCUGGUUGCAUCUAUGCAUUAAGCUCAUGGAGAGCAAUCAUAAACGUACGAGAGAUGAUUUAGCAUCUUCCGUGGACGUGAGCUAUGUGGUUGCCUCUCUAUAAUAGGAGGAUGGAGAUUAAUAACCGCCACCCUGGACCGGAUUUAAGGACUCUUGAUCACCAGCUCUAGGUGCAUCUGUUUUUUAGGAGCCUGGAGACCUGUAAUAGAAGCUGAAAGAUUUCAUUGUGAUCUAUUGUGAUCAAGCUUGUCAUGUUCCUUUAUUGUAGGAAAGAGACCAAGCUGAUGGAGCCUUAGCCCAUGGUGGCAAGCUGUAUGAUUGCACCUCUCCGCCGGAAGCUCAGAGAUCAAGAGCGAAAACGCUCAAGAUGAUGUGAGCAUCUUCCGUGGUCACAAACUCUAUAGUUGUGACUUUAUAAUAGGAGCCUGGAGAACAAUAAUGGAGGUUCUAGUUGAUUUCAGGUUCUGCUCCGAUCAAGAUUGUUUGUUGCCUCCACGUUAGGAGAGAGACCAAGAAUGGACGCGGAAGCUGAUUUAGCAUCUCUCAGAUCCAGGCGCUCUAUGGUUGCAUCUGUGUAAUAGGAGGACGGAGAUUAAUAAGAGACACACUGCGCCUGUUUAAGGAUUCCUCCUUGUCGUGAGCCCUAGGGUUGCAUCUCUGUUUUAGGAGCCUGGAGACCAGUAAGGGACACACUGAAGCUGAUUGUAAUACUCUUCCAAGGGCGUGAGCUCUCUCAAUGCGUCUCUGUGCUAGGAGCAUGUGGACCAACGUGAGUAACAGUCAAAGUUCUUGUCUUACUUUGAGUGCUUUGUUUAAGGCUAUUCACUGUAUUACUCAAAAACAUUAAAUAUAAUCAAAGAAGGCAAAAUAUGCCAGUGUUAAAUGUCAGGUUGAUAUGAGGCAUAAUGUUAACUAAUUUAUGAAUGUAACCCUUAGGUCAGUUAAUGAAAGCGAUUUAGUCUCUGUGUAAUAUUACAGACAGAGAUAUUAGGAAUGUUGAGGCAUUGUAUUCUUAUUUGUUUAAUUUAUGUGUGUUUCUUAAUGAAUUCAUCAAUAUUUAUGAGAAUGAAAAAAAGCAAGAAGGCUAAUAAUGGACCAAUGAUGACGAUCGGUGGCUUUUCUGAGUCAUACACGAUGAAUACUAUGUGUCUGAAACUCUGAGGGCUGAUACAAAGAUACUCUAGUCCUUUUCUUGCUUGUGUAGGGACCCUAUAUAUAGGUGUCAAUAAGAUAUAAGGACUUUGUUCUCGCUCUUUGUGUUCAUGAGUUUUAAUAAUUAAUUUGUAAAAGUGGGAAUGGUAGAAUAAAUUAACAAACGUAUAAAUGAAUAAAGGUGGAGAGGUUGAAGCAUUGUUCUUUGGUAAAUAUGUAGUAAGCUAAAACAACGUUAAUAUCGUUAAAAUGGAUAUAAAAGGACCAAGUGUAUUACAUCUUCGCCUAAGGUUGAUACGGACGAUGAAAUUUAGCAAUCAGUUAUUGACUGAUUCAGUUGCAAGUUUGAACUUUAUUUUUAAGGUAGAAAUGAAUACAUUCCCAUAAGCUAGUAAAUACUUAAAUGACCGUGUAUAUGAAUGGUGGAAAGUAUGGAUCACUAGAGAGAAAGUCUUAACCUUUUUAUCACUUUCUCUGCUUGGUACUCCUCAGAACAGAUGCUCGAGCUGAUUUCAUCUUCUAUCGUGAUCAAGAUUGUCAUGUUCCCUUUGUGUUAGGAAAGAUACUAAGGUGAGUAAUGAUCAAAAAUUUUAUCUUGGUUUGUGUCAAUUUUUUAAGUGUAUUCAUGGUGUUAUUAAAAAGUGAUGAAUAUAAUAAAAAAGUUAACUAUGGCCUAAUGAUAAAUAUGAUAUGAAACAUUAUUUUGAUUCAUUUAAUAUAUGUAACAUUGAGAUUGAUUAAAGACGUAAUCUAUGUUGGCAGUGAUUCUAUAGUAGAAGUUAGGAAUAUUCAAGUAUCUUCUUCUUCAGUUUUGUGAACCUUGUGUUUAUUUUAUUAUUUUCAAUGAAUUAAUUAUUUAAUUGAUAGAAGUGUAGAAAUGAAUGAAGAAAAAGUAGGCCUCUUUUGGACCAAUGAUGACGACUAAUGGCGGAUAAGUCGUGGACGAUGAAUAAUACGUGUCUGGAUAUCUGAGGUCCUCACAGUACGUUGGCUAUUCCUUCUGCUGUGUUUGAGCUUGUAGACUGAUGUAAGGAAUAUGCAAAGAUCAUGUACCUAUUUUGAGUUCAUAGAUUUAGAUUUGUUGUUAUUAAUGGAGCAAUGGUAGACCAUUAAAGAAAUAUAAACAGUAUGUAAAGAAAAAAGGGUGAAGCAUUAUUCAACUAUGAACAUAUAAGGAAAGGCAAGAAAUAUUAAUAAAAUUGAAAACACUGAUGCCCAUUUAGAAAUAAGUGGAUCAGAGGUCUACAUCCUUGGCUAAUUAUCAUAUAGGCAUAAAUAAGUAAGAGUCAAUUUAUUUAUUCUGAGUCAGUUUCAAGUUUGGGGUGGUUCCUUUGAUUAAGAGAAAAAACAUUUACAUUAUGAAAAGUUUAUGGAUACCUAAAUAAGUGAGUAUAAUGUCCUAACUUUUUUUUAAUCAUUGACUGUGCUUUUUCUUCUCAGAAUGGACACACUCAGGCUGAGUAAGCAGUAUUCCAUGGUGUGGAGUUUAUGAUUGCACCUUUGCGUUAGGAGCACAGAGACCAAUAGUGGGCGCCCUGGACCUGAUUUAAGGAUUCUUUCCGGAUCACAAGCCCUGGGGCUGCAUCCCAGUUCUAGGAGCCUAGAGAGCAAGAAUGGAUGACUUGAGCUGAUUCUAACGUUCUUCCAAGAUCGCCAGCUCUCUGAAUGCAUCUCUGUUGUAGGAGCAUGGAGACCACUAACAGAUAAUCAGGUUGAUUUCAUCUACUGCUGUGGUCAAGAUUGUUACGUUGGCAUCAUGUCAGUGAGUAAUAGUCAAAGUGAGUAAUAGUCAAAGGUCUUGUCGUGCUUUGGGUCAUUUGGUUAAAGAUAUCCGUGGUAUUAUUAAAAAGUAUUAAAUAUAAUGAAAAAGUUAACUAUUGCCCAAUGAUACAUAUGAUAUGAAACAUUAUGUUAAUUGAUAAUAUAUAGCUUUGAGAUUGAUUAACGAAAGACAUGCAGCUGAUGUUGGCAAUGAUUCUAUAGAUAGAACUUAGGGAUAUUCAAGUAUCUUGUUUUUCACUUUUUGUGAGUCAUGUAUUUAUUUUUUCAUUGUCAUUGAAUUAGUGAAUUAAUCAAUACAAAUGUAAAUGAAUGAAGAAUAAAUGGGCUUCUAAUGGAUCAGUGAUGACAACUGGUUGUCUAGGAUGAUGAAUGAUUUGUGUCUGGAGCUCUUAAGGUCCAACAUGAUACCUAGUGUAUUCUCUCUGUUAUAUUUGACACCAUAGACAAAUGUUAGGAAUAUACAAAGAUCAUGUUAUUAUUUCGGGUUCAUAGAUUUAUAUUUAUUAUUAUUAAUGGAUAUAUAGAAAUCUAAAGAAAUAUGAAGGCUAGAUCAAGAAUAAAGUUAAAGCCUUGUGCAACUGUGAUCCUAUGUGGUGAGGCAAAAAAAAUUAUUAAUAAAAAUUGAAAACACUGAAGCUCAUUAAGAAAUAAACUGAUCCCAAGGGUGUUAUCUGUUUGGCUAAGGAUUGUAUAUAUAUGGAUAAUUGAGUAAAUUUUAUCGUUCUGGGUCAUUCUCAAGUUUGAGGCUGUCCUUUUGUUAAGAGAAAAUAAUAUCUACAUUCCAAAAGAAUUUUAAAUACCUAAGUUACUCAGUAAAUAAUGUGGAAAUGAAGGACCAAUGAGUAUAAGUUCUCAAUUUUGUUAUCUUCAGCUGUGCUUUGUACUUCUCAGAAUGGACACAGUUGAGCUGAUGAAGCAGUAUCCUUGGUGGCAAGCUCUAUGAUGGCAUCUGUGUGUUAGAAGCAGAGACCAAUCUGAGUAAUAGCCGUUCUAGUCUGGGUUUCAGUGAUUUUUUUCAGGAUAUUCAGUGUAUUUCUAAAAAGUGCCAUACAGAAUUGAAGAAGGCUGAUUGUAGCCCAUUCAUAAAUAUUGAAUUAAUAUGAAACAUUAUACUGAUUAAUGCGUAAGUGACAUUUAGGAUUAUUAAUGAAAGAGGUAUAUUGAUGUGAGAAUCAUUCUAGACAAAUUAGGGAUAUCAAUGCCUUUUUGGGGUUUUGUGAAUCAUAGAGUUUUAAAAUUAUACAUAGUGAAUUAAUGAAUUAGCCAAUAAACAAUGUAGAAAUAAAUGAAGAAGAGGCACAAUAUUGGCUCGAUGAUGACUGCUGGUGGCGUAUGAGUCGUAUACUAUGACUACGUGUCUGGAACUCUUAGGUCCAACAGAACAAGAAAUCGGGUCCAUUCCCAUUGUUUGUAGAGAUCCUGUAGGCAAAUGUCAGAAUAUACAAGGAUCUUGGUUUUGUUUUUAUGUUCAUGCAUUUUUUUCUAUUUUUAUAAUUGGAUCAAUGAAAUAAUAAAUAUCCAAAUAAAUAAAGAUGAAGGUGGUGAAAUAUUGUCUAGUUAUAAAAAUAUCGGAUUAGGCAAUAAACUCUAUUGAUUUUUAUAGAUGAAUUGAUUCUGUAGAGAGAUGUCAAGAUCAAUGCAAAUCAAUAGACAGAUCAUAUUUUUGUAUUGACUUCAUAGAUGUAGAUAUGUUCUAAUUAAUGGAAUAAUGAUAGAAAUACUAAGCAAAUACAAAUAAAAGAGGAACAGGGUGAAGUGUUGCCUAACUAUGAAUGUAUGUGGUAAAGCAAAAGAUGUUAUUAAUGAAAUUGAAAACAUUGAUCCUAUUAAGAAAUAAAUGAAUCAAAGUAUCACCCCUUUGCUUAAGAAUCAUUUGGACAUUGACUAGUAAGAAUCAAUUGUAUUAUUUUGGGUCAGUCUUAAGACGAAGUUUUUCAGUAUGUAGGGUUAAAUGUAUAUAUAGAUAAAAGAAUAAAUAUCUUUCUGAGCUGAUGAAAUGCGGAAAGUGAGGAUCAAUGGUGAUUAGGUCUCAAUUUUUGUAUCAUCCGCUCUGCACUCCUCAGAACAGACGCACUUGUGCUGACUUAGCAUCUCUCAUGGUCACGAGCCUCUAUAUUACAGGAGAACGGAGAUUAAUUCCUCAGAACGGACGCAUUGGACCUGAUUUAAGAAUUCAUCCUUGAUCCUGAGACCUAGGAUUGCAUCUCUGUUACGGGAAUCUGGAGACCAAUAAUGGAACCACCUGAGGUGAAUUAAGCGUCUUCCAUGGUCACGAGCUCUCUGCUUUCGUCUCUGUUGUAGGAGCAUGGAGACCAUUUCGAGCUGAUUUGAGGAGUGUUCCAUGAUGGCAAGCGCUGUGACUGUAUCUCCAUGUUAGGAAGAAAAAGACGAGUAACGUUGCACACGGCUGAUGUGGGCGCUCCCCCAUGGUCCCAAGCUGUUUGCACCUGUGCGUUAAGAGCGUGGAGAACAAUAAUGGACUCUGGAACUGAUUUCAGCUUUUGCUGUCGUCAAGAUUGUCAUGCUGCCUCUGUGUAUGGAAGGAGAUCAAGCUAAUUUAGCAUCUUCCAUGGCAGGAGCUCCACGGUUGCGUCUGUAUGACAGGAGGACAGAGAUUAAUAAUGGAUGCACUCAAGCUUCUUUAAGCAUGUUCCACGGUCAUGAUCUUUAUGUUUGCACCUGUGUGUUAGGAGCAUGGAGACCAAUGUGAGUAAUAGUCGAAGUUCUCAUGUUGGUUUGAGUGGUUCAAAGAAGGCCAAUCAUACCAAUGUUUAAUAUCAGAUUGAUAUGAAGCAUUGCAUUGAUUAACCCAUAAAGAAACAGACACUGAGUUCAGUUAAUGAAAAGGAUAGAGAUUCUUUGUAAAUGAUGCUAUUGGUGAAUAUUAGGGAUAUUGAAGGAUCUUGUUUUUUUUUUAUUUAUGUGUAUUUCUUCAUGAAUAAAUUAACCAAUAAGGAAAUGUAGAUGAGAAUGGACAGAAAGAAGGCCAAUCAGGGGCCAGUGAUGACGACUGGUGGUGAAGAAUGUCAGCGUGGAGCUCUGAGGGCCAACACAGACUGACUCUAGUCCAUUCCCCAGAUUUUAAAGGAUACUAUAGACAGAUUUCAGGAUUAUAUAGUGAUCUUUUUCUUGGUCUUUGUGUUCAUGAAUUUUAAAUAUAUGAUUAUAAAAGAACCAACGGCAGAAUAAAUUAGCAAAUGUAUAAAUGAAUAAAGAUGAAGAGGGUGAAGCGUUGUUCAUUACUGAAAUACGUAGUCAGGAGAAUGAAUAUUGAUAGACACUGGAAUGAUACUAAAGGGACCGGUGUGUUAAGUAUUGGACUAAGGAUGAUAUGGACAGUGAGAGGGAGUAGUCAGUUAUUGCCCUGACUCAGUUACAAGUUUUAAGUUUAUUUCGUAAAGAGAAAAACCGAUUUUAUCUUAAAUUUAUAAAUACUUAAAUGACUUUGUAAAUGGGGUAUGGAAAUUACAGAUCAAUGGAGAGAGCGUCUCAAUCUUUUUAACAUCUUUUCUGUCUGAUACUCUAAAAACAACGCAG
This 39671-nucleotide long non-coding RNA is filed under the name Equus asinus (donkey). Its description in RNAcentral is "lncRNA (ENSEASG00005027442.1)". The stretch from base 1731 to 1841 matches the Rfam family "Maternally expressed 8 exon 2". The record is from RNAcentral. Lineage: Eukaryota; Metazoa; Chordata; Mammalia; Perissodactyla; Equidae.